Molecule: non-coding RNA, 208 nt
Organism: Oryza glumipatula
Lineage: Eukaryota; Viridiplantae; Streptophyta; Magnoliopsida; Poales; Poaceae
Source: Rfam
AAAAAACAAACAAACAAACUUUCCGCGUCCAACGUUUGACUGUCCGUCUUAUAUAAAUUUUUUUUAUAAUUAGUAUUUUCAUUGUUGUUAGAUGAUAAAAUAUGAUUAAUAAUUUAUGCGUGACUUGUCUUUUUAAUUUUUUUCAUAAAUUUUUCAAAUAAGACGGACGGUCAAAUAUUGGACACGGAAACUCAAGGUUUGUCUUUUU